Molecule: ribosomal RNA, 497 nt
Filed under: uncultured bacterium
Lineage: Bacteria
Description: partial 16S ribosomal RNA
Rfam family: Bacterial small subunit ribosomal RNA
Source: RNAcentral
GAUGAACGCUGGCGGCGUGCCUAAUACAUGCCAGUCGAGCGAACAGACGAGGAGCUUGCUCCUCUGACGUUAGCGGCGGACGGGUGAGUAACACGUGGAUAACCUACCUAUAAGACUGGGAUAACUUCGGGAAACCGGAGCUAAUACCGGAUAAUAUAUUAAACCGCAUGGUCCAAUAGUGAAAGACGGUUUUGCUGUCACUUAUAGAUGGAUCCGCGCCGAAUUAGCUAGUUGGUAAGGUAACGGCUUACCAAGGCAACGAUGCGUAGCCGACCUGAGAGGGUGAUCGGCCACACUGGAACUGAGACACGGUCCAGACUCCUACGGGAGGCAGCAGUAGGGAAUCUUCCGCAAUGGGCGAAAGCCUGACGGAGCAACGCCGCGUGAGUGAUGAAGGUCUUCGGAUCGUAAAACUCUGUUAUUAGGGAAGAACAAAUGUGUAAGUAACUAUGCACGUCUUGACGGUACCUAAUCAGAAAGCCACGGCUAACUACGUG